CUCAAUCUCUAGAGGUCCUUCCCAACCCCUGGAAUUCUGUGAUUCAUUUCUUGUCUGCACAAACAGCCCUACAAUUAACCAUAGUGUUACACUCGCUCUGCUGCUUUUAAUCAUGUUUGACCAAUAUACACUCUCUCAGGAAAAACAUGCUCCUUUCUAGAUUCCGGAAACUGAUUGCAGAACUGGUGUUGCUAGUGACCCUGCAGGACUAUGCAGCCUUCAUUUCAGGUGCUGGACACUUGCUCAGAUGGAAGGACUUCGUUCUGGCACUCCCGAUGGCCAGCUUUCAGAGGGACGGACAGAAGCCUUCUUUCCGGCUUUGAAAAAUGUUACAUCUUCAUAUGAUCAGAAAAAUCUGGUAGAAUACCAUAGAGUAUCCAUGGUGGUACUUCCUCAAAGAUAUGCAUACAGAGGAGAUGCCAAAUCUUUGGUCGACCUUGGCACCUUCAUUCUUUUUGAAUUGUUUGCAAUCUCCUCAACAGAUUUUAAAACUAUGUGAGUGCAGAGAAUUAGUUUCAGUUUAUGUUUUUCUGUAUCGGUUGGACAAAGGUAGGUAAUAUGUCUUAAACUAUUAUUAUUUGCUUAGUAAAUGGGGAAAAAAGAAUAACAAAAGCAUAUUCAGAAAAGGAAUUACACAGUCCAGAAGGGCAGAUGUAUCAAUACAGUUAUUUGUCUUUCCAUAGUUUUUCAUGUAUAAUCUAGGUGUGUUAAAGAUGUGGUGAAGCUGAUGCCUACACUGUAAUAAUAAAUUUUGGGAGUUUAUAGAUUGCA
This 771-nucleotide long non-coding RNA is filed under the name Chrysolophus pictus (golden pheasant). Its description in RNAcentral is "lncRNA (ENSCPIG00010010908.1)". The record is from RNAcentral. Lineage: Eukaryota; Metazoa; Chordata; Aves; Galliformes; Phasianidae.